AGGGGAGUAGGGGAAAGGAGUGGUGAGAAAAGGGGAACAUAUGAUAGCCGGCAAUAUACCAGCAAGUAUAGAGCAAAACAAGGAAUUUAGUUUUGAAAACUAAUAGAGAUAACACAGAUACUACUACUAUACAUUCCUUUAUAUAAGCAAAAGCUGCUUAGUACUCAUUGUUUCUAUGUAAAACAGUAGAGCUAGUAGGUAGUUCUAUUUGACCAAGCAUCAGAAUUGUAAGUUGGUGAUUCCUCAUUCCUAAAGAGAAAAAUUGCUUACCUAUAUAUUUCUGACAGGAUUCCAUUUCAUCCUAAAGACAUAUUAUAUAGUACUGUACUUUAA
Non-coding RNA from Pelobates cultripes (western spadefoot toad), 333 nucleotides. The record is from the annotation of a GenBank genome assembly. NCBI's taxonomy places the organism in Eukaryota, Metazoa, Chordata, Amphibia, Anura, Pelobatidae.